UGGGGAAUCUUGCACAAUGGGCGAAAGCCUGAUGCAGCGACGCCGCGUGGGGGAUGAAGCAUUUCGGUGUGUAAACCCCUUUCGACCGGGAAGAAUGCCUCGCAAGAGGACUGACGGUACCGGUAUAAGAAGCCCCGGCUAACUACGUGCCAGCAGCCGCGGUAAGACGUAGGGGGCCAGCGUUGUUCGGAAUUACUGGGUGUAAAGGGUUCGUAGGCGGUGCGGCAAGUUGGGAGUGAAAUCUCUGGGCUCAACCCAGAGGCUGCUUCCGAAACUGCUGUGCUUGAGUGUGGGAGAGGCGCGUGGAAUUGCAGGUGUAGCGGUGAAAUGCGUAGAUAUCUGCAGGAACACCCGUGGCGAAAGCGGCAUUCUGGACUGUAACUGACACUGAGAGACGAAAGCCAGGGGAGCAAACAGG
This 418-nucleotide ribosomal RNA is filed under the name uncultured bacterium. RNAcentral's name for it is "bacterial SSU rRNA". It matches the Rfam family "Bacterial small subunit ribosomal RNA", at positions 355 to 776 of the family's 1533-position model. The record is from RNAcentral.